GUGACUGAGUGGCGGACGGGUGAGUAACGCGUGGGUAACCUGCCCUAUACAGGGGGAUAACAGUUGGAAACGGCUGCUAAUACCGCAUAAGCGCACAGCUUCGCAUGAAGCAGUGUGAAAAACUCCGGUGGUAUAGGAUGGACCCGCGUCUGAUUAGGUAGUUGGUGGGGUAACGGCCUACCAAGCCGACGAUCAGUAGCCGACCUGAGAGGGUGACCGGCCACAUUGGGACUGAGACACGGCCCAAACUCCUACGGGAGGCAGCAGUGGGGGAUAUUGCACAAUGGGGGAAACCCUGAUGCAGCGACGCCGCGUGAGCGAAGAAGUAUUUCGGUAUGUAAAGCUCUAUCAGCAGGGAAGAAGAAAUGACGGUACCUGACUAAGAAGCUCCGGCUAAAUACGUGCCAGCAGCCGCGGUAAUACGUAUGGAGCAAGCGUUAUCCGGAUUUACUGGGUGUAAAGGGAGCGUAGGCGGCGAGAUAAGUCUGAUGUGAAAGCCCGGGGCUCAACCCCGGGACUGCAUUGGAAACUGUCUUGCUGGAGUGUCGGAGGGGUAAGUGGAAUUCCUAGUGUAGCGGUGAAAUGCGUAGAUAUUAGGAGGAACACCCGGUGGCGAAGGCGGCUUACUGGACGAUCACUGACGCUGAGGCUCGAAAGCGUGGGGAGCAAACAAGAUUAGAUACCCUGGUAGUCCACGCUGUAAACGAAUGAAUACUAGGUGU
Molecule: ribosomal RNA, 722 nt
Filed under: uncultured bacterium
Lineage: Bacteria
Description: bacterial SSU rRNA
Rfam family: Bacterial small subunit ribosomal RNA
Source: RNAcentral